Molecule: long non-coding RNA, 1048 nt
Filed under: Homo sapiens (human)
Lineage: Eukaryota; Metazoa; Chordata; Mammalia; Primates; Hominidae
Description: HSALNT0322995
Source: RNAcentral
AACCGCCCAGGUGCGACCCGCAGCAGCCUUGGCGAUGCAGCUCGUUCUCCAGACGCGGGUCCACACCGGCGCGUCCUCGCCUCCAGGGACCGAUCGCUGUUCUCCGUGGCCGGUGACUUGGGGCGCCAGUGAGAAGCAAGUAGUCAAAGAAAACAUCCCGGGCAAACCGGCUGACCGAAAAUCCACUGUCGGGGUAGGGAGGCGCCCUCUACGGGGAUGAAGUCAUCGCUACCUUUGACUCUUUGAUCCUAGAUAACCGACCAAGACGUUUCCAGCCUAAUGCCUGACGCCUUUUGCUUCCUCCAUCCUGGUCCUCAGUCCCUGAACUCCCAGGACAGAAUUCCUGACCUCCUUGGUCAAGCCUUGGAUCGAGAAAGAGAAACUAUUAGUGUAAACAAACCAAUCAACCCCAAAACCAAAACUGUGCCUGCCAAUAGCCCAUUUCUUGGCCAUUGAUGGUGCAUGAAGAGAAAUGGAUCCAAUUAAGAAAAUCUUAAAAUCUUAAGGAAUAAGAAAAUGUAAUAAAGAGAAAGACAAUGUCAUGCUCAGGGAGCUAAUAUGAAUCCCAAAGGAAUAUUGACUGUUCAGGCUCAAGUUAAAUUACAGCAGAUCGAAAGUGAGGAGUUGAGUGGCAUCUUCUUUUCUCUUACUGUCGACCUUGUUAAAUGGGGAGUCCACACCCCUUGCCUACUCCUCCCUCCUCAACCCCGUGACAGUGGGCCUCCCCCCAACUGUAUUGAGCAUGCACUCUAAAACAGUUACUUUUUGAGAAGUCAAGUCUGGUGACCCAUUCUCAGCCCCUCAUCCCUUUGAUCUCCUUGGCAGCAUCCUACCCUAAGGCCUUCUCUAUGCUUCUCUGGACUUCUCUGCUGACCCUUCUCUUCCUUUGAGGACAGUAACAAGGUUUUUCCAACUCUCGAUCUCCCAGUAUCCCAAAGAAAUACCUUCUGAUUUCAAACUGAACCCAUCCAGAUGUCGUGGGACCUGAAGCUUGUAUAACUCCUGGGGGAACUUCUUAAAGGAAAGCAAUAAAAACUUACAAACAUAA